Molecule: unclassified non-coding RNA, 237 nt
Filed under: Hevea brasiliensis (rubber tree)
Lineage: Eukaryota; Viridiplantae; Streptophyta; Magnoliopsida; Malpighiales; Euphorbiaceae
Source: RNAcentral
GGCUAAUCCAAGAUAAUACCGUAGUAUUACAUCUCUCCCAAGAAGAAUACAUAGUAUUGCUAAGGCUUGUUUUUGGAAGCUAGUGCCAUUUUCAUAGCUUUAGCCCAUGAAUGAUAAUUCAAACCAAAGAGACCUAGAGAAACCAAGACUAGAGAUGGAUUUUCACUUGGACGCAGCAAGUAAGGAUUAGAAUAAUUUUGUAGGUGAUCAUUGUUAUGAUUGGCAACCAUGAAAAUG